CAAAUUGAUGCAUCUGAUAGCCAGAACCCUUUUUUACUAACUGACCAAGUAGGUGACGAAGCAAAUGGAAGCCUGGCUUCUACUAUACCAGUCCAGGAUGCAUCGACAAUCAGUUAUUUUCAUCAGCCGCAUAUAGCCUCUGUACCUUUUACCCAUCUCCACAAUGAUCAAGAUGUGUAUAGGUCAUUCUUCAACUCAUCCACAUUUCCAAGUCUUAUUGUUUCUACCUUGCUACAAAAUCAAUGUACCUCAUACAACCUCUGUACCUCAGCAUGCCUCUUCUAAAUCAAUGUCAUCGUCUUCUUCUGGCUCUGAUGAUUGUGAUGGAAGAGAUGAGGUUUCUAAGGAACUUAAAGACACUGGAUCCAGCAAGAUAAAGACAUUAGCAGCUCACAGAUCUUCUGAUUUAGAUAAGGCUAUGAAUCAGAAGAAAGUGGAUCGCUCUUCUUGUGGAUCCAAUACGGCAUCAAGUAGUGAAGUAGAAACAUACACCAUGGAGAAGAAACAUGAAAAAGUGAAUGAUGAGGGGAAAAAAGACUACGACAAUUUUUCAAAAUGUGGGUUCAACAAUUACAGGCUCAGAAGUAGCGGAAGUUUAAAUGAAUCCUUGAAGGUCUCUUCAGAGGUUGUAAUAUGAUAAUUUCUUGUUAACCCCCAUUAAUGCAGAAAAUACCAACCAAAGUCUUGAUGAGGCUUGGAAGGAGCUUCAAGAGUACUUGAUUCAAACUGAAGAGAGUGGGCUACUAAGAAAAAGAAUUGCUAAUUUUGUAAUCAGGUUGUUGAAGUACCAAAUGU
This is a long non-coding RNA of Zingiber officinale, 795 nucleotides long. RefSeq lists it as uncharacterized. The record is from RefSeq and is a predicted model, not a curated record. The transcript is spliced from 3 exons. NCBI's taxonomy places the organism in Eukaryota, Viridiplantae, Streptophyta, Magnoliopsida, Zingiberales, Zingiberaceae.